ACGACCGUAGCUCAGCUGGUUAGAGCGCUACCUUGACAUGGUAGGGGUCGGUGGUUCGAAUCCACUCAGUCGUACCA
This 77-nucleotide transfer RNA is filed under the name Pseudoalteromonas nigrifaciens. RNAcentral's name for it is "tRNA-Val(gac)". It matches the Rfam family "tRNA". Rfam says of the family: Transfer RNA (tRNA) molecules are approximately 80 nucleotides in length. Their secondary structure includes four short double-helical elements and three loops (D, anti-codon, and T loops). Further hydrogen bonds mediate the characteristic L-shaped molecular structure. tRNAs have two regions of fundamental functional importance: the anti-codon, which is responsible for specific mRNA codon recognition, and the 3' end, to which the tRNAs corresponding amino acid is attached (by aminoacyl-tRNA synthetases). tRNAs cope with the degeneracy of the genetic code in two manners: having more than one tRNA (with a specific anti-codon) for a particular amino acid; and 'wobble' base-pairing, i.e. permitting non-standard base-pairing at the 3rd anti-codon position. The record is from RNAcentral. Lineage: Bacteria; Pseudomonadati; Pseudomonadota; Gammaproteobacteria; Alteromonadales; Pseudoalteromonadaceae.